UGGGGAAUAUUGCACAAUGGGGGAAACCAGGAUGCAGCGACGCCGCGUGAACGAAGAAGGUAUUCGUAUCGGAAAGUUCUGUCCGAUGGGAAGAUAAUGACAGUACCAUAGAAGAAAGCUCCGGCUAAAUACGUGCCAGCAGCCGCGGUAAUACGUAUGGAGCGAGCGUUGUCCGGAAUUAUUGGGCGUAAAGGGUACGCAGGCGGUUUAAUAAGUCGAAUGUUAAAGAUCGGGGCUCAACCCCGCAAAGCAUUGGAAACUGAUAAACUUGAGUAGUGGAGAGGAAAGUGGAAUUCCUAGUGUAGUGGUGAAAUACGUAGAUAUUAGGAGGAAUACCAGUAGCGAAGGCGACUUUCUGGACACAAACUGACGCUGAGGUACGAAAGCGUGGGGAGCAAACAGG
Molecule: ribosomal RNA, 403 nt
Filed under: bacterium
Lineage: Bacteria
Description: partial 16S ribosomal RNA
Rfam family: Bacterial small subunit ribosomal RNA
Source: RNAcentral